UGUUUGAUGUUCUAACGUUGACCCGUAAUCCGGGUUGCGGACAGUGUCUGGUGGGUAGUUUGACUGGGGCGGUCUCCUCCUAAAGAGUAACGGAGGAGCACGAAGGUUGGCUAAUCCUGGUCGGACAUCAGGAGGUUAGUGCAAUGGCAUAAGCCAGCUUGACUGCGAGCGUGACGGCGCGAGCAGGUGCGAAAGCAGGUCAUAGUGAUCCGGUGGUUCUGAAUGGAAGGGCCAUCGCUCAACGGAUAAAAGGUACUCCGGGGAUAACAGGCUGAUACCGCCCAAGAGUUCAUAUCGACGGCGGUGUUUGGCACCUCGAUGUCGGCUCAUCACAUCCUGGGGCUGAAGUAGGUCCCAAGGGUAUGGCUGUUCGCCAUUUAAAGUGGUACGCGAGCUGGGUUUAGAACGUCGUGAGACAGUUCGGUCCCUAUCUGCCGUGGGCGCUGGAGAACUGAGGGGGGCUGCUCCUAGUACGAGAGGACCGGAGUGGACGCAUCACUGGUGUUCGGGUUGUCAUGCCAAUGGCACUGCCCGGUAGCUAAAUGCGGAAGAGAUAAGUGCUGAAA
RNAcentral lists this ribosomal RNA (566 nucleotides) under Escherichia coli. Its description in RNAcentral is "partial 23S ribosomal RNA". It matches the Rfam family "Bacterial large subunit ribosomal RNA", at positions 2211 to 2776 of the family's 2925-position model. The record is from RNAcentral. Lineage: Bacteria; Pseudomonadati; Pseudomonadota; Gammaproteobacteria; Enterobacterales; Enterobacteriaceae.